This 72-nucleotide transfer RNA is filed under the name Geovibrio thiophilus. It matches the Rfam family "tRNA". Rfam says of the family: Transfer RNA (tRNA) molecules are approximately 80 nucleotides in length. Their secondary structure includes four short double-helical elements and three loops (D, anti-codon, and T loops). Lineage: Bacteria; Pseudomonadati; Deferribacterota; Deferribacteres; Deferribacterales; Geovibrionaceae. The record is from Rfam by way of RNAcentral.
AGGGGUGUAGCCAAAUGGUAAGGCAUCGGUUUCUGGUACCGUGUAUUGUGGGUUCGAGUCCUUCCACCCCUG